This 1456-nucleotide long non-coding RNA is filed under the name Mytilus galloprovincialis (Mediterranean mussel). Lineage: Eukaryota; Metazoa; Mollusca; Bivalvia; Mytilida; Mytilidae. The record is from RNAcentral.
GGUCAAUAACUCCUUAAGGGAUCAAUUGAUCAUUUUGCUCAAUUUGACUUAUUUGUAGAUCUUACUUUGCUGAAUAUUAUAGCUGUUUUAGUUCAUCUCUAUAAUAAUGUUCAAGAUAAUAACCAAAAACAGCAAAAUUAACAUAAAACUACCAAUUUAGGGGCAGCAACCCAACAAUGGAUUGUUUGAUUCAUCUAAAAAUUUCAGGGCAGAUAGAUUUUUACCUGAUGAACAAUUUUACCCCAUAUCAAAUUUGCUCUAAAUGCUUUGGUUUCAGAGAUAUAAGCCAAAAUCUACAUUUUACCCCAAUGUUCUAUUUCUAGCCAUGGCAGCCAUCUUUGUUGGCUGGCCGGGUCAACUAGAAACCCCAAUGAUGAUUAUGGCCAAAUUGGCCCAGUAGUUUUAGAGAAGAAGAUUUUUGUAAAAGUUAACAGACGAUGACUGACAACGACGACGCGGACUACGGAAGCCAAGUGAUGAGAAAAGCUCACUUAAGGGCCAGGUGAGCUAAAAAAACAUUCUCUCCAUCUGCAGAACUUUUAAUACAGACAAAAACAAAAUGAUAACUGAUACAUAAUAAAUGAACAUUAAAAAAUCAUGUCAUGUCUUGAUUAAAAAUUCUUGCAUUUCAAAAUGACUUAUUUCUCUUUAAAAUUCAACAAAUAAAAUCUAUAUGCAUUUACAUCCUUCAAAAUUAGUGAAGUACUAAAAAUCUAAAUUAUUAUUCAGUUAGACACUAGUCAUUUGCCCACCUUUCUAUGUAAAUGUCCUGAGACUCUUGAUGAAAUUUGUACAUUUUAGUUCAUUUCUCAAAGAAAGUGCCAAAGAUAUUCUUUUAUAUAAAUAGAAAUUAUCAUGUAGUUCCAGAAGCCUAGCUGAAUCACUGUUUUAAAUUUUACACUGGAUAUCAAAUAAAACAAUAAUGUAAAUAUUUGGUAGUAUUAUCCUUUUACUAAUGACCACAACUUGACAAAUCUUCCUUCUGAUGUAACAGUCAAGUAGUGUUCCUUAAGCCACAAUUCUGUAGUUGUAAAAAUUCUUGUUUUUUAAAUAAUAGUAUCUUCCAUUUUGUUUAGGUUCUAAGAGUUUCACUUGGCAGGUAAUACUGAAAAUAGACCAAAGUUUAGCAGGACUGGGUUGCAAUGUUUUCUGUAUGUAAAAUUAUGUUAAAUAUGCAUGAUCUUUGCUGCCAAAACAAAUAAAUGAGGUACAAACAAUUAAUACUGCACAAUCACAUUUUUGUUAUUCUUGUAAAUAAACACUGAAUAUGGUGUAACACUUUCACAAGAAUGAGGUAUAAGCAUUCAGAAGUUCAUCUUCUGUAACGUUUAGAAAAGCAUGUUUUUUCUUUCUUUUUCCUUUUUUAUAUUAUCAAAAAUUUUCAUGAUCAUCCCUCAUAAGGACUGUCAAAGUUUUAGUCAAAUCUUCAUUAGAACAUAGUUAGCCUUGUUUAAAC